RNAcentral lists this ribosomal RNA (497 nucleotides) under uncultured bacterium. Its description in RNAcentral is "partial 16S ribosomal RNA". It matches the Rfam family "Bacterial small subunit ribosomal RNA", at positions 28 to 507 of the family's 1533-position model. The record is from RNAcentral.
GACGAACGCUGGCGGCGUGCCUAAUACAUGCAAGUUGAGCGCUGAAGGUUGGUACUUGUACCAACUGGAUGAGCAGCGAACGGGUGAGUAACGCGUGGGGAAUCUGCCUUUGAGCGGGGGACAACAUUUGGAAACGAAUGCUAAUACCGCAUAAAAACUUUAAACACAAGUUUUAAGUUUGAAAGAUGCAAUUGCAUCACUCAAAGAUGAUCCCGCGUUGUAUUAGCUAGUUGGUGAGGUAAAGGCUCACCAAGGCGAUGAUACAUAGCCGACCUGAGAGGGUGAUCGGCCACAAUGGGACUGAGACACGGCCCAAACUCCUACGGGAGGCAGCAGUAGGGAAUCUUCGGCAAUGGACGAAAGUCUGACCGAGCAACGCCGCGGGAGUGAAGAAGGUUUUCGGAUCGUAAAACUCUGUUGGUAGAGAAGAACGUUGGUGAGAGUGGAAAGCUCAUCAAGUGACGGUAACUACCCAGAAAGGGACGGCUAACUACGUG